GACGGAAGUGGUGCUGCCCACGUGGCAGACUCUUGCCCUGGUCUCAGAUUCCCGGCCCUGGCCCCCGGCCUGAUUUACUCCUGUAGCUCCGCCUGACUAGUGACACCGCCUCUGCUCAGCUCCCAUAUCACCUCCUUGAUGACAUCUCAGGUCCCAGGCACAGGGAUCAAACUCUGGACCUUGUGCUUGCGAGGCAGGAGCUGGAACCACUGAGCUUACAGAGUAUUUUAAAUGCAUGGCAGCUUGGCUUUUAUUUUGAAGAGUCUAAAUAUGAAGAGAUGAUCUCGACCUUAGAAACUAUCCAGACCUUGUAAGAGAGAUCCAAGGACAUAUCCAGAACUUAAAUAUAUUCUUGAAUACUUGGAAAAGAAACAUGAACAAGAUCCAAACAGGUUAAGGAAGUGAAUCACAAGCUAUAUAAAAUUGAGGUAAACUGGAAAACUCAAAGGAAAGUACUGUAUCUACUCCCAGCCGCCCAGAACAAAAGAUCACAUUAAAAAAUCCAUGGUGUGAAUUCCCUCCUUGGGCCAGAAGGGAGGAAGACGGGUUUCCCUGCAAGUCUGCCGACUGCACCCUGCCCUCCCUGAUGUAGCAGAGCUCCUCAGUGCAGAAGCAGAUACAAGUGCGUUCCUCGGACCCUGAGGCCCAGCCCCAAACCUGCUCUCAGCAGGCCGAGUGGAGCCAUGAUGGGCCCCUGUGGACAUACACCUGCAGGGAGCGGGCUCCUCCCGGAAGUCACGUCUUCGGUUGGCUGAG
RNAcentral lists this long non-coding RNA (756 nucleotides) under Heterocephalus glaber (naked mole-rat). RNAcentral's name for it is "lncRNA (ENSHGLG00000036666.1)". The record is from RNAcentral. Lineage: Eukaryota; Metazoa; Chordata; Mammalia; Rodentia; Bathyergidae.